AGAGUUUGAUCCUGGCUCAGAACGAACGCUGGCGGCAGGCCUAACACAUGCAAGUCGAACGAACCCCUCGGGGUGAGUGGCGCACGGGUGCGUAACACGUGGGAAUAUACCCUUCAGUACGGAACAACACAGAGAAAUUUGUGCUAAUACCGUAUAAUAACUCCGGUUCAAAGAUUUAUCGCUGAAGGAUUAGCCCGCGUUUGAUUAGAUAGUUGGUGAGGUAAGAGCUCACCAAGUCGACGAUCAAUAGCUGGUUUGAGAGGAUGAUCAGCCACACUGGAACUGAGACACGGUCCAGACUCCUACGGGAGGCAGCAGUGAGGAAUAUUGGACAAUGGGCGAAAGCCUGAUCCAGCCAUGCCGCGUGAGUGACGACGGCCUUAGGGUUGUAAAGCUCUUUCAGAUGCGAAGAUAAUGACGGUAACAUCAGAAGAAGCUCCGGCUAAAUUCGUGCCAGCAGCCGCGGUAAU
Molecule: ribosomal RNA, 470 nt
Filed under: uncultured Alphaproteobacteria bacterium
Lineage: Bacteria; Pseudomonadati; Pseudomonadota; Alphaproteobacteria
Description: bacterial SSU rRNA
Rfam family: Bacterial small subunit ribosomal RNA
Source: RNAcentral